This 245-nucleotide long non-coding RNA is filed under the name Mytilus galloprovincialis (Mediterranean mussel). The record is from RNAcentral. Lineage: Eukaryota; Metazoa; Mollusca; Bivalvia; Mytilida; Mytilidae.
AAAGAAGUGGGUCUCAUUGGGGUCUAAGCGUGACGCGGGAUUGCCGAUUUUUUGUAAACGUGACACGUGACACGUGAAAGUCAAAUUAUUGUGUCGGGAAAACGGGAAAUGAGGUCUAGCGGGACCCGGGAAAUGACAAAAAAAUGAGAAUUGCUUACAUACAUAGUGUAAGCGGGAUACGGGAAUCGGACAAAGCAGUAAGCGGGAUCCGGGAUCGGAACCCCCCAAUGAGACCCCCAAAGAAG